UACGAAGGGGCUAGCGUUGCUCGGAAUCACUGGGCGUAAAGGGUGCGUAGGCGGGUCUUUAAGUCAGGGUGAAAUCCUGGAGCUCAACUCCAGAACUGCCUUUGAUACUGAGGAUCUUGAGUUCGGGAGAGGUGAGUGGAACUGCGAGUGUAGAGGUGAAAUUCGUAGAUAUUCGCAAGAACACCAGUGGCGAAGGCGGCUCACUGGCCCGGAUACUGACGCUGAGGCACGAAAGCGUGGGAGCAA
Molecule: ribosomal RNA, 246 nt
Filed under: uncultured bacterium
Lineage: Bacteria
Description: partial 16S ribosomal RNA
Rfam family: Bacterial small subunit ribosomal RNA
Source: RNAcentral